Molecule: non-coding RNA, 4523 nt
Organism: Meleagris gallopavo (turkey)
Lineage: Eukaryota; Metazoa; Chordata; Aves; Galliformes; Phasianidae
Source: RefSeq, a predicted model, not a curated record
CCGGGCUGACAUCCGGCUGCGGCGGCGCUCCGAGCUGCUUUGCUGCCCGCUCUGAAACGAGUGCUGUGCGUGCGCGAUGGAACUUGGCCGCUUUUAGCAAUUUAGAUGGAAGAGAUGUAAGGGGCGAAGAGAAAAGGCGGCUGGCGUUCCGCCGCCGUGCCUCGCUCCGGUGUUCGCCGUGCGUUAGGAGCGCGGCCGUGCCUCCUCUUUGUAUGCUGCUGUGGGGCUGCAGGUGAAGCCCCGCGUUUCCAACGCCGAGCCCGUUCCUUUGUUUGCGGCCGUGAGGGCUGAAGCGGGCUGCCGCGAACUGCGAGCCGCUGUCCGCUCGCACCUAUCGAUGGGGCUGACGGAUGUGCAAAUGAAACCGCGCGGCACGCCGUGCCCGUCGCUCAGCGCCGGCAGAAGUGGAUCCUCCAACACCGCCGGUUUGUCGGUGCCAUCAUUAACCGAUUCCAUAUGAGCGCAUUCCUUUUUCCUUGGCGUGCAGAUGCCGGGUACUGCCUGAAGUUGGAACGUGCGCCUCCGAGUGCUUCGGGGCCGAUCUGCGAUGCUCUUAUCUGCAGAACUGCGUUGAAAAUGCCUAAUUCUGCUCUGUUGUCCUCAAUCUGAAUGUGCAGCUGAUGGGGCCGUGGUAGUUUUGCUUAAGCACGUUGAGCUAUGUUGUGUCCCAACAUCCCCGAUCGCACACCGGUAGUAUUUAAUCAUCUCAGAUUCUGGAUGUUUUCAUUGUAAAGCCUGUGAGAAUCACCGGUUGGUUUAAAUUAGUUGCCUUUCUGGUACCAUCAGGGCAGUAAGCACACAAGCACUUUGCUGAAUAAAGUUUCUAUUUGCUUACAUUGUAGAGAAGAUUAAUUUUCAGCUAGCAAUUGGAUACGACAUCUCAUUUUUGAAUAUGAAAUGCUGACCUGAUUAUGCUUUAAUUACAGAAAAAGUAAGUGUAGAAGGAUAUAGAAGGAUAAGAUAUGUGGCUCCUCUUAAAACCUAGCUUUGUUGAAAAAGCUGAAUUGCCACUUGUUAUUUCUGUCUAGAUGCUGUGUUAAGCCUUAGUGAUUGCUAACUGGAUGUUUUGGAUUCAAGAAGGGAUCGAUCAGUAUCAAAUGAAGAGUGAUAAGUGAUACGGUUUAUGAGAACAAGUCUCCCUGAUUACUGUAUGCUGCAAGUGUGUUCUAUUUUAAUCACCUUCUCAAAACCAUACUAUGUUUUGGGCUGGAAGAGGAUGCUGCUGGUUCUGAAUGAAGGCAACCUGCAGUGGUGGGUGGAAGAUCUGGGAUAUCUGGCUGUUCUUCCAUUUCACUCUUUCCACCUCUGUUUUUCCCUGUGGUCGCUUUGCCUCUCUUAGUCUGAUUUCUCCAAAGAGAGAUGGAAAUGCCCCACUUUCUGCAGCAUUCUUGCUUUUGGAACGAGCCGUUUGACACCUGGUGCUGACUGCUUGUGGCGGUGAAUGCUACACCAAGUGCUACCAAGCCUUCCUUGUUUCCCAGCUGCUGUAAAGAGGUAUCGUGAUGGACAUCUUAUCAGGUUCAUGUUGCUGGCUUCUGUUUUGAGCUUCCUCUAACCUGCUGUUUUCUGGACUAUGUCCCGGAUUCUCAAAGAUACCAAGGCGCCAGAUUGCAAUAGGAGUUGUGUGUUCCAGUACAUCUGUGAAUCAGCCUCUAAAGUUUUUGGGGAGGAAUCCUGAGGUCAUCUGACACAGAUUACAAGCUCUACAUUUCGUAUUUACGAGACUUGGUUUCAAAGAAAAAAAAGAUGCAGGAUAGGACUGGAGAAAGGAAUGGCUUGGACUGUUGUGAUUAUUUCAAACGUCUUUGCAAACAAUUUUUUUUUUGCUUUGAGGAGCCUUUUCUGUGGAGGUUGGAAGCAUGCUGUGUAACCUCUUCAUGCUACUCAAGUGCUUCCACUGCGCUGUGACCCACAUCUUGUAACACCAGCUGAACAAUGAACAUCUUGGAGAGGCAACAAGAUAUUAAUUAUAGACUUGCAGGAAAAUAAACUAAUUAGCAUCAUUAGAAACUCUCGUAUCUUUGGUAUUGGAUUCCUUAAUCCCCUGAAAUGAUUUUAAAUCAGUUAAAAUGCAAAAUAUCAUCGAAAGUGUGCACAUUUCUAAAAAUGUGUUUAUUAAUGUAGGUGCUUGGGGGUGGAAGCUGAAUUAAAUGUUAGCUUGCUUAGGAUAUUGUCUCUUUCUGGUAAUUUUUUAUACCAGAUAACUGGUAUAAAAUAGCAGUAAAAGUUACAUAUUUAACAAAAUACUUAAUAGCAGAAAUAAUGGAUGGUUUUCAAUGAGUUUAUAUCUGACCAUUGAUUGACUUUUUAGUUAAAAGCAGUGGCUGUGACAUGAAUUUUAGUCUUCAGACAACGAACUCCACAAAGGAGUAGAUUAUUAUGAAUGCCACAACUAUCUGGCAUUUAAAGCUUAUUAGGAAACAAGAAUCUGUUCUAAACCCAGGUGGUUUUUCAGCAUCUAAUAAAAGGCAUUAAAUGCUGUUGAUGCGUUUCUUACAGUUGUGAUAUUUUUAGUGUCUUUUUUUUUUCUUCCCUUUUUUUCCUGCUGUGUGGCAAGCUGCAUUCAUUUACUGGGAGUAUUAAUAAAAUCUCUGUUUUCUCUCUGGCUCUUGUUUUCCUGAAUGUGGAGACCCUCAGUAUACUUGAGGGUCUCCAAAUUUAGUAGAGAUUAGUCAAUAUAAUAUAAAGUUACUGAAGGGUAGCUUCCAAGAAAUAUUCUGUAAGUGAUCUCUUAAAAUCUGAAAAUUCUUGGGAGCUCUUAAAGAAAAAACAUUGCCCACAUGAUUUUCAGCACUUACAGCUGCAAGGUCCUGCAGCUAGAAGUACAUGAUGGCAGCAGACUCAGCAGACUGGUGGCAUGCUUGGCAACACUAACUGGUAUUGGUGACAGAGACAGUUGUGCCUCACUGGUCUGGUAGGGGUUUUGUUUGUACUAAUGAUAUAGCUGAUGUUCUAGUUUGAUUUUAACGUCGUCCUUUCUUGUAUUUUGGAGCUGUAUGUGAAAGUUUUUCAUACCUGGCUCUUAAAUAAGGAAACUGUGAGGCAACGGGUAAAGUAUUGUCGUGGGUCACAGCCUCUUAGAGGAAAUAACAGAAAUAAAUAUUAAGGUGGUUUUGCCUUAAAUUGUGAGGUGUUUAAUAUUAAUGAUCUCUGGAAGUUGAUUUAUAAAGCCACACACUCAAAGUUGUUUAAUCACAUUCAGAAAUACUGGAAAGGUCAUUGGAGAAGUCUCAUUAAGCUGUGUGGAAGGACAGCAAGAUGACAGGUAAAACUAAGCGUCAGUAUAUGCAGGACUGUUUUAUGGAGGCAGAAACCAUUUAUAUCUCUUGAAAGAUACUAAGUUAACAGUAUUAAUAUAACAAGCAUAUUUCAUCAUCAUUGCAGAUUGCUGAGGUAUCCAAGUACGCAAUUUAUAGCUGUAAUCAGAAGUGGAGAAAAAGUAUCAAGAAGGAAGUGUCAUUCUAUAUGAAUUCUGUAAUUCAUUUUUGCUAUUCAAAGUAUGUAAUUAACCAUCAACUGGUUUUGGGGAAAAAAAAAAACCAACAACCCGUAGAAUUGUAGAGAGUUUGGUACAAAAGAUAGGACAGAAUUUUUAGGGUGACUGAAAAAAUUGGAAGUAUUUACUGCAGGAAACGAAGAGCUGAUCAAACAAAUGGGGACUAGAAAGUUUUAAAGUAGACAUGAAUUUGUGCUGUUCAGCAGCUGAUGAGAAAGGGGAAAAAAAGCUGCGUUCAGAAAAUGAUAAUUUAUUGAAUUUGUACCUUUUUACAAGGACAAGGGAACUGAGAACUUUCCCCUGCUUCCACUCAAUGUACCUGUAUUUGUCUUUGAGUAUGUAUCUAUCAUCCACUGUUAGACUGUUUCUCUUGAAUACACAUAGCCAGCUUAACAGCCUUGCUUUAUUUGCUUCAAACCAAUGGUUUGAACUUUACUCUUUCCCAUCAGAGAUGACUGCUCAAAUAAAUUAAUAUUCAUUGGAGUGAGCUAUUCUCAGUCUUCUGCAUCUGAAGUGAAUUUUGUAAUUUCUGGGCAUUGGAGUCAUUGCCUGACAGUUUGGUGUAAUGAAUUGUUUCAUACAAAAUGAAACAGAACAAAUCAGUGGGACAAUGAGAGAAACUCUUAAAACAAUAUGUUGGCUAUGGCUCUGACUUGUAGCCUGGGGUUCACUGCUUCGAAAGCAACCAUGGAUGAAAACUGAUGUUUGAAGAGAAAAUUUCCUAGGUCAAUUUAGCAUGCCCAAAGAACGUCGGAGGUGUAAAGUAGAGGAGCAUGGGGGUCCUUUUGUGAGGGUAAUUCUUCUUUCAAGUUAUUUCUUUUAUUUAGUACCAGAACAUCUGAAAUAGAUGUGUUAUUGAAAACUGAAAGUUUGGUUGAUGCUGAAGUACUUUUCUAAUGGUUGCUUGUCUUAAAUAAUGCGUUACAGCCCAUUGUGCAGCAGCACCUAUUUGCCAUGGAACCAUGGAAUGGCCCCGGUUGGAAGGGACCUCAAGGAUCAUGAAUCUCCAACCCCCCCACCACAGGCA